GUCAAAAUCCUUACUCUCAGGUUGCAGCCUUUUAUGGAAGACUUAAUUGAGCAGGAACAGUGUGCUUUUACCAAAGGAAGAUUGAUUUCUGACAACAUCCUUAUCAACCAUGAAUUGAUGCAUAAUUUGAAAUUGAGGAGAAAUGGGAGAAAUUUUGGGAUGGCUUUAAAGUUGGGUAUAAGUAAAGCUUAUGAAUAUAUUGA
RNAcentral lists this unclassified non-coding RNA (203 nucleotides) under Hevea brasiliensis (rubber tree). The record is from RNAcentral. Lineage: Eukaryota; Viridiplantae; Streptophyta; Magnoliopsida; Malpighiales; Euphorbiaceae.